Molecule: long non-coding RNA, 414 nt
Filed under: Calidris pugnax (ruff)
Lineage: Eukaryota; Metazoa; Chordata; Aves; Charadriiformes; Scolopacidae
Description: lncRNA (ENSCPUG00000012733.1)
Source: RNAcentral
CCUCGCUCCCGGCUGCCGCUCGUAAACCCGAGCAGGCAGCAUCAGCACAGAAAUCACUCGAAAGAACCGGCCAUCUGCCUGCGCAAAACGAUGUGCUGAGUUUCUCUCUUGAAGAAUGAGCCUUUGCUUCGCUUUUCCUUCCAGCUGCUGGGAAAAUGUCAAGAUUAGAUGAGUCACACGGCAGAUCAGAUCUGAGUGACAAAGCCUGGACAUUGGCUGCUUUACUGCCCUGUUAACCUGGAGGAACUGACUGGAAUUUAUUGCCUUAGGAACACUGGUGCACAUAGCUGACAUCUGGAUUUAAAGAAAGCUUUGCAGGCCAAUACAUUGUCUCCUAAACCUUUACUCCCACUACUUAUACGAUUAAUACUUCAUUUUUGUAAAACUAAAUAAAUAAGGCUCAUUCGUAUAACA